GCCCGAGUGGUGGAAUGGUAGACGCGGCGGACUCAAAAUCCGUUGGUAGCAAUACCAUGUCGGUUCAAGUCCGACCUCGGGCACCA
This 86-nucleotide transfer RNA is filed under the name Candidatus Onthocola stercorigallinarum. RNAcentral's name for it is "tRNA-Leu". It matches the Rfam family "tRNA". From Rfam's summary of the family: Transfer RNA (tRNA) molecules are approximately 80 nucleotides in length. The record is from RNAcentral. Lineage: Bacteria; Bacillati; Bacillota; Bacilli.